GACGAACGCUGGCGGCGUGCUUAACACAUGCAAGUCGAACGAUGAAACCUAGCUUGCUAGGUCGAUUAGUGGCGAACGGGUGAGUAACACGUGACUAACCUGCCCCUUUCUCUGGGAUAACGCUCCGAAAGGAGUGCUAAUACCGGAUACUCACAUCGAGGCACAUGCCUUGAUGUGGAAAGUUUUUCGGAAAGGGAUGGAGUCGCGGCCUAUCAGCUUGUUGGUGAGGUAACGGCUCACCAAGGCGACGACGGGUAGCCGGCCUGAGAGGGCGACCGGCCACACUGGGACUGAGACACGGCCCAGACUCCUACGGGAGGCAGCAGUGGGGAAUAUUGCACAAUGGGCGCAAGCCUGAUGCAGCGACGCCGCGUGAGGGAUGAAGGUCUUCGGGUUGUAAACCUCUUUCAGUAGGGACGAAGCGAAAGUGACGGUACCUAAAGAAGAAGCACCGGCUAACUACGUGCCAGCCGCCGCCGUAA
Molecule: ribosomal RNA, 482 nt
Filed under: uncultured bacterium
Lineage: Bacteria
Description: partial 16S ribosomal RNA
Rfam family: Bacterial small subunit ribosomal RNA
Source: RNAcentral